RNA transcript from Dioscorea cayenensis subsp. rotundata (Guinea yam), 1697 nucleotides. It is a transcript of the gene named ribosome-binding ATPase YchF, with no coding region annotated. The record is from RefSeq and is a predicted model, not a curated record. The transcript is spliced from 12 exons. NCBI's taxonomy places the organism in Eukaryota, Viridiplantae, Streptophyta, Magnoliopsida, Dioscoreales, Dioscoreaceae.
AUUCUUUCUCUCCUCCGCCGUCCCGCCGUCAAGUGCGUUCGCCAUGGCCAGGGUUUUGAGCUCUACUCUACUAGGGUUUGGGCGCACCCCUUGUUCUUCUUCUUUUUCUUCUUCUCAUUGCUCGUCUUCUCUCUUCCUCCAUUGGCAAUGGCGCCGGCUCUACUCCUCUGGCUCAAGGUUCAGCAUGAGCCUCAAAGCCGGCAUCGUUGGCCUCCCCAACGUCGGCAAGUCAACCCUCUUCAACGCUGUUGUUGAAAAUGGAAAAGCUCAAGCAGCUAAUUACCCUUUCUGCACGAUAGAACCAAAUGUUGGUAUAGUUGCAGUUCCAGAUUCACGAUUAAAUGUUCUUUCUAAUCUCAGCAAAUCUCAGCGUGCUGUUCCAGCAUCUAUAGAAUUUGUAGAUAUUGCUGGUUUAGUAAAAGGUGCCAGUAAAGGAGAGGGGCUGGGUAAUAAAUUUCUAUCACACAUUCGUGAAGUGGAUUCUAUAUUGCAGAUUGUUCGCUGCUUUGAUGAUAAUGAUAUUGUUCAUGUAAAUGGGAAAGUUGAUCCAAAAUCAGAUAUUGAUGUCAUUAAUUUAGAGCUAGUGUUCUCUGAUCUUGAUCAGAUAGAAAAGAGGCUUGAAAAACUUAAGAAGAGCAAAGCUAAAGAUUCACAAUCCAAAGUAAAGGAGGAAGCAGAGAAAUCGGCAUUGGAAAAAAUUCAACAGACACUCAUGGAUGGAAAACCUGCAAGAUCUGUAUCUUUAACAGAUUUUGAGAGAGAAUCUAUACAGCACCUUUGUCUUCUCACCAUGAAACCAGUUAUAUAUGUAGCUAAUGUGGCCGAAUCUGACCUUGCUGAACCAAAGAGCAAUCCUUAUGUCAGAGAAGUAAUGAUUGCUGCCUUAGAAUUGCAAUCUGGCAUAGUGACAAUUUCAGCACAGGUUGAAUCUGAGCUUACUGAGCUACCGCUAGAAGAGAGAAUCGAGUAUUUAAAGUCGCUUGGUGUUAAUGAAAGUGGACUUGGGAAUCUGAUUAGAGCCACAUACAAUCUUUUGGGGUUGCGGACUUAUUUUACAUCUGGAGAGAAGGAAACAAAAGCAUGGACUAUCCUUGCAGGCAUGACAGCCCCUCAAGCUGCUGGAGUUAUUCACUCUGACUUUGAGAAAGGUUUUAUUCGAGCAGAGACUGUAGCUUAUGAUGAUUUUGUUGCUGCUGGUUCACUGGCAGCUGCAAGGGAGAAAGGACUUCUGAGGUCUGAGGGAAAGGACUACAUUGUUCAGGAAGGCGAUGUCAUGCUAUUCCGGUUCAAUGUUUGAUAAACAUGAUAACACUUCCAAGUAAAUGAUCUUACAGCUUGUGUCUCAUUACAUGCAAACCGGUGUGGAUCCUACUCCUUGCAAAUAUUCCACAUCAUAGGAACAAGAUGGCUUCUCAUUUUCUCAGAGCCAACUCAUCAGAAAAAUCCGAAUCUGCUGACAAAUGUGAUAAUUAAGAGGUAAAGAAUUCAACUGUUACCAUCUCUUCAGAAUCUUUUCAGAUUAUAGUAUAAUGGACACCAGCAACUCCUUUCUUCAAACUGGUUAUAUUGGUUAGAUAGAAUGACACUUCUUUGUCAUUGAAAGUGAUGCAAUUCUAUUCUUAUCUUGUUGUCUUCCAUUUAUUGAAUGUGGUUGGCCCAUAUGCUUGCUUCCAAGCUAAACAAGCCAAUUUAUACAA